GAUGAACGCUAGCGGCAGGCUUAAUACAUGCAAGUCGUGGGGCAGCAGGUUUGUAGCAAUACAGAUGCUGGCGACCGGCAAACGGGGUGCGGAACACGUACAGAACCUUCCUUUGAGCGGGGAAUAGCCCAGAGAAAUUUGGAUUAAUACCCCAUAGUAUAAUGAAGUGGCAUCACUUUAUUAUUAAAGAUUUAUCACUCGAAGAUGGCUGUGCGGCUGAUUAGGUAGUUGGCGGGGUAAAGGCCCACCAAGCCUGCGAUCAGUAACUGGUGUGAGAGCACGACCAGUCACACGGGCACUGAGACACGGGCCCGACUCCUACGGGAGGCAGCAGUAAGGAAUAUUGGUCAAUGGAGGCAACUCUGAACCAGCCAUGCCGCGUGGAGGAUGAAGGUCCUCUGGAUUGUAAACUCUUUUAUAUGGGUACGAAAAAGGCUUUUCUAAGUCGUCUGACGGUACCAUAUGAAUAAGCACCGGCUAACUCCGUAGCCAGCAGCCG
This 499-nucleotide ribosomal RNA is filed under the name uncultured bacterium. RNAcentral's name for it is "bacterial SSU rRNA". It matches the Rfam family "Bacterial small subunit ribosomal RNA", at positions 28 to 517 of the family's 1533-position model. The record is from RNAcentral.